UUGGAGGGCAAGUCUGGUGCCAGCAGCCGCGGUAAUUCCAGCUCCAAUAGCGUAUAUUAAAGUUGUUGCAGUUAAAAAGCUCGUAGUUGAAUUUCGAGACCGGCUUACUGGUCGUGCUUUUGUGCGUACUGGUAUAAUCGGUUUCUCCUUUCUGACGAACUAUAAUGCCAUUAAUUUGGUGUUAUAGGGAAUCAGGACUGUUACUUUGAAAAAAUUAGAGUGUUUAAAGCAGGCUCACGCUUGAAUACAUUAGCAUGGAAUAACGGAAUAGGACGUUUGAUUCUAUUUUGUUGGUUUCUAGGAUCGACGUAAUGAUUAAUAGGGAUAGUUGGGGGCAUUAGUAUUCAAUUGUCAGAGGUGAAAUUCUUGGAUUUAUUGAAGACUAACUACUGCGAAAGCAUUUGCCAAGGAUGUUUUCAUUAAUCAAGAACGAAAGUUAGGGGAUCGAAGACGAUCAGAUACCGUCGUAGUCUUAACCAUAAACUAUGCCGACUAGGGAUCGGAUGAUGUUAAUUUUUUAAUGACUCAUUCGGCGCCUUACGGGAAAC
RNAcentral lists this ribosomal RNA (548 nucleotides) under uncultured Glomeromycotina. RNAcentral's name for it is "SSU rRNA". It matches the Rfam family "Eukaryotic small subunit ribosomal RNA", at positions 548 to 1098 of the family's 1831-position model. The record is from RNAcentral. Lineage: Eukaryota; Fungi; Glomeromycota.